This 75-nucleotide transfer RNA is filed under the name Puniceicoccales bacterium. RNAcentral's name for it is "tRNA-Lys". It matches the Rfam family "tRNA". Rfam says of the family: Transfer RNA (tRNA) molecules are approximately 80 nucleotides in length. Their secondary structure includes four short double-helical elements and three loops (D, anti-codon, and T loops). Further hydrogen bonds mediate the characteristic L-shaped molecular structure. tRNAs have two regions of fundamental functional importance: the anti-codon, which is responsible for specific mRNA codon recognition, and the 3' end, to which the tRNAs corresponding amino acid is attached (by aminoacyl-tRNA synthetases). tRNAs cope with the degeneracy of the genetic code in two manners: having more than one tRNA (with a specific anti-codon) for a particular amino acid; and 'wobble' base-pairing, i.e. permitting non-standard base-pairing at the 3rd anti-codon position. Lineage: Bacteria; Pseudomonadati; Verrucomicrobiota; Opitutia; Puniceicoccales. The record is from RNAcentral.
GGGACAGUAGCUCAAUGGUAGAGCAGUUGCCUUUUAAGCAAUUGGUUCCGGGUUCGAGUCCCGGCUGUCCCACCA